AUUGAACGCUGGCGGCAGGCCUAACACAUGCAAGGAGAACGAGUGGCGGACGGGUGAGUAAUGUCUGGGAAAAGGACGGAUGGAGGGGGACAACCACGGGAAACGGUAGCUAAUACCGCAUACCAGCAGAUGUGCCCAGAUGGGAUUAGCUUGUUGGGGGGGUAACGGCUCACCAAGGCGACGAUCCCUAGCUGGUCUGAGAGGAUGACCAGCCACACUGGAACUGAGACACGGUCCAGACUCCUACGGGAGGCAGCAGUGGGGAAUAUUGCACAAUGGGCGCAAGCCUGAUGCAGCCAUGCCGCGUGUAUGAAGAAGGCCUUCGGGUUGUAAAGUACUUUCAGCGGGGAGGCUUUACCCUCAGAAGAAGCACCGGCUAACUCCGUGCCAGCCGCCGCGGUAAUUC
Molecule: ribosomal RNA, 406 nt
Filed under: uncultured bacterium
Lineage: Bacteria
Description: partial 16S ribosomal RNA
Rfam family: Bacterial small subunit ribosomal RNA
Source: RNAcentral